RNAcentral lists this ribosomal RNA (71 nucleotides) under Methanolobus profundi. RNAcentral describes it as "partial 16S rRNA. Archaeal SSU". Lineage: Archaea; Methanobacteriati; Methanobacteriota; Methanomicrobia; Methanosarcinales; Methanosarcinaceae. The record is from RNAcentral.
AUUCUGGUUGAUCCUGCCAGAGGUCACUGCUAUCAGUAUUCGACUAAGCCAUGCGAGUCAAAUGUUCUUCG